This 477-nucleotide ribosomal RNA is filed under the name uncultured Methanosaeta sp. RNAcentral's name for it is "bacterial SSU rRNA". It matches the Rfam family "Archaeal small subunit ribosomal RNA", at positions 861 to 1338 of the family's 1478-position model. The record is from RNAcentral. Lineage: Archaea; Methanobacteriati; Methanobacteriota; Methanomicrobia; Methanotrichales; Methanotrichaceae.
GGAAUUGACGGGGAGCACCACAACGGGUGGAGCUUGCGGUUUAAUUGGAUUCAACGCCGGAAAUCUUACCGGGACCGACAGCAAUAUGAAGGCCAGGCUGAAGACUUUGCCGGAUUAGCUGAGAGGUGGUGCAUGGCCGUCGUCAGUUCGUACUGUGAAGCAUCCUGUUAAGUCAGGCAACGAGCGAGACCCACGCCCACAGUUGCCAGCGUACUCUCCGGAGUGACGGGUACACUGUGGGGACCGCCGCUGCUAAAGCGGAGGAAGGAAUGGGCAACGGUAGGUCAGUAUGCCCCGAAUAUCCCGGGCUACACGCGAGCUACAAUGGUUGGUACAAUGGGUAUCUACCCCGAAAGGGGACGGGAAUCUCCUAAAACCAAUCUUAGUUCGGAUUGAGGGCUGCAACUCGCCUGCAUGAAGCCGGAAUCGCUAGUAAUCGCGGAUCAGCAUGCCGCGGUGAAUACGUUCCCGGGCCUU